GCCGCUCCGCGAGGUGAGCCAUUGGCCGGGGUGUCGGCGAGUGUGUUGGUGGGGCGCGUCCUGGGGACGACUCCCGGCAUGAUCGGCCAGGUUGAGUCCGCUCCUGGCAUUCCGCGGAAAGAUGGUAUUCCCACUUUCCUGUGCGGUGCAGCAGUAUGCCUGGGGGAAGAUGGGUUCCAACAGCGAAGUGGCGCGGCUGUUGGCCAGCAGUGAUCCACUGGCCCAGAUCGCAGAGGACAAGCCCUAUGCAGAGUUGUGGAUGGGGACUCACCCCCGAGGGGAUGCCAAGAUCCUUGACAACCGCAUCUCACAGAAGACCCUAAGCCAGUGGAUUGCUGAGAACCAGGACAGCUUGGGCUCAAAGGUCAAGGACACCUUUAAUGGCAACCUGCCCUUCCUCUUCAAAGUGCUCUCAGUUGAAACACCCCUGUCCAUCCAGGCACACCCUAACAAGGAGCUGGCAGAGAAGCUGCACCUCCAGGCUCCGCAGCACUACCCCGAUGCCAACCACAAGCCAGAGAUGGCCAUUGCCCUCACCCCCUUCCAGGGCUUGUGUGGCUUCCGGCCAGUUGAGGAGAUUGUAACCUUUCUAAAGAGUAAGUUGGACAGAAUGCUGAAGGCAUGAGUAUUGGGCCAGGGAUACCUGGGGAACCAAGAUGAUAGGAACAGUGGCUGAAAACGGGUCACAUGUCACAGGAACUGAAGGGCCUCAUGAAGCAGUUUUUGGAGCCAGUGAGCCAGGCCAGUGAGACCAGGCUCAGGUGUGGUUGUCAAGGGCUGGUGGUGAGUGAUUGGUUUCCACUGCAAAGUUUACUUAGCAUUGCCGGCUCUUUGGUUAGGGCUGGGAUGGAAAGGUGUCCUCCAACUCCCCACUUGUGUGGG
Molecule: small RNA, 882 nt
Filed under: Pan troglodytes (chimpanzee)
Lineage: Eukaryota; Metazoa; Chordata; Mammalia; Primates; Hominidae
Description: retained intron
Source: RNAcentral